UCCAGCCUGCCCAGUGACAAAAUUAAACGGCCGCGGUACCCUAACCGUGCGAAGGUAGCAUAAUCACUUGUUCUUUAAAUGAGGACCAGUAUCAACGGCAUCACGAGGAUCCUACUGUCUCCCCUCUCUAAUCAGUGAAACUGAUCUCUCCGUGAAGAAGCGGGGAUAUACAUAUAAGACGAGAAGACCCCAUGGAGCUUUAAACCCAACAGCACCCGCCCAUUCCAUGCCCUCUUAUAUACUCGGUGUCUGUCUGUUCGGCUUUAGGUUGGGGUGACCGCGGAGCAUAAGACAGCCUCCAUGAAAAAAGGGACAUUCCCUGAUUUAAGAAUUACACUUCCAAAAACUAAAAAAUUAAUUUAAGUGAUCCGACUUAGUAUUCGAUCAACGAACCAAGUUACCCUGGGGAUAACAGCGCAAUCCGCCCCGAGAGCCCCUAUCGACAGGCGGGUUUACGACCUCGAUGUUGGAUCAGGGUAUCCCAGUGGUGCAGCAGCUACCAAAGGUUCGUUUGUUCAACGAUUAAAACCCU
Molecule: ribosomal RNA, 532 nt
Filed under: Boophis aff. rufioculis MV-2005
Lineage: Eukaryota; Metazoa; Chordata; Amphibia; Anura; Mantellidae
Description: partial 16S ribosomal RNA
Rfam family: Bacterial large subunit ribosomal RNA
Source: RNAcentral